UGGCAUUUGCGUUCGGGCGAGUUAAUCACCCGCGGAUCGGGUUCGAGUCGGACGCGCGCAGCGCGGGAGACAAUGGUGCCGCUUGCGGCAACGGCCCGAAGGGCGAGGGUCGAAGACCCGAGUCAUCCCGCCACCUCCGGCU
Molecule: small RNA, 142 nt
Filed under: Oceanospirillaceae bacterium
Lineage: Bacteria; Pseudomonadati; Pseudomonadota; Gammaproteobacteria; Oceanospirillales; Oceanospirillaceae
Description: RtT sRNA
Rfam family: RtT RNA
About the family: This family represents a bacterial cis-regulatory element known as RtT RNA.
Source: RNAcentral